Molecule: unclassified non-coding RNA, 253 nt
Filed under: uncultured Sporolactobacillaceae bacterium
Lineage: Bacteria; Bacillati; Bacillota; Bacilli; Caryophanales; Sporolactobacillaceae
Description: contains 16S-23S intergenic spacer region
Rfam family: Bacterial small subunit ribosomal RNA
Source: RNAcentral
UACGUAGGGGGCAAGCGUUGACCGGAAUUAUUGGGCGUAAAGCGCGCGCAGGCGGUCUCGUAAGUCUGAUGUGAAAGCCCACGGCCCAACCGUGGAGGGUCAUUGGAAACUGGGAGCCUUGAGUGUAGGAGAGUAAAGUGGAAUUCCACGUGUAGCGGUGAAAUGCGUAGAUAUGUGGAGGAGCACCAGUGGCGAAGGCGACUUUCUGGCCUACAACUGUCGCUGGGGUGCGAAAGCGUGGGGAGCAAACAGG